Molecule: ribosomal RNA, 484 nt
Filed under: uncultured bacterium
Lineage: Bacteria
Description: partial 16S ribosomal RNA
Rfam family: Bacterial small subunit ribosomal RNA
Source: RNAcentral
GACGAACGCUGGCGGCGUGCUUAACACAUGCAAGUCGAACGAUGAAGCCGGAGCUUGCUCUGGUGAAUUAGUGGCGAACGGGUGAGUAACACGUGUGUAACCUGCCCUUGACUCUGGGAUAACUGCGGGAAACUGUAGCUAAUACCGGAUACGACCCUCGGAGGCAUCUCCUGGGGGUGGAAAGAAUUUCGGUCAAGGAUGGACUCGCGGCCGAUCAGCUAGUUGGUGGGGUAAAGGCUCACCAAGGCGACGACGGGGAGCCGGCCUGAGAGGGUGACCGGCCACACUGGGACUGAGACACGGCCCAGACUCCUACGGGAGGCAGCAGUGGGGAAUAGUGCACAAUGGGCGCAAGCCUGAUGCAGCAACGCCGCGUGAGGGAUGACGGCCUUCGGGUUGUAAACCUCUUUUAGCAGGGAAGAAGCGAAAGUGACGGUACCUGCGGAAAAAGCACCGGCUAACUACGUGCCAGCCGCCGCCGUAA